Mangifera indica (mango) is the source of this 561-nucleotide RNA transcript. It is a transcript of the gene named protein transport protein Sec61 subunit beta-like, with no coding region annotated. Lineage: Eukaryota; Viridiplantae; Streptophyta; Magnoliopsida; Sapindales; Anacardiaceae. The record is from RefSeq and is a predicted model, not a curated record. The transcript is spliced from 2 exons.
UUGGCUUAUGAAAAUAGAGCCGUCGUGGUUGACAUUGCCAAACCGUAGGCUGUAUAAAACGAGACGAUUGAGAGAGUUUUUUCAAAUAAAUAUUCAAACGAGUUCUUCAAAGAUCUGAAUCUCGAGUCGAUCGGAAUGGCUUUGACUGGAACAGCUCCCCCAAGAGGAAGUGCAGCAGCGGCUGCCAGCAUGCGUAGGAGGAGGACAACCAGUGGGGCUGGUGCGUCAGGAGGUGCAGCCGGUACAAUGCUCCAGUUUUACACUGAUGAUGCGCCAGGACUCAAGAUCUCACCCAAUGUUGUGCUUAUUAUGAGCAUUGGUUUCAUUGCUUUUGUUGCUAUUCUUCAUGUCAUGGGUAAGCUUUACUUUGUUCGAAGAGAGUAAAGCAGGUGAAAAUGUUAUCAUGCCUAUCAAAUUUCAGUAUAGCGAGUUCUGGAGUUUGUAAACCAGUUUUAGUGUUUGUCAAGUCUGCUCAGGGUGAGGUUGCUUCUAGGAACAUUUUUCUUGUUCUAAGCCUUAGACACAUUCAAAAUUUUAAUAUUAAUUUCUUCUUUUUGAGAA